Molecule: ribosomal RNA, 117 nt
Organism: Danio rerio (zebrafish)
Lineage: Eukaryota; Metazoa; Chordata; Actinopteri; Cypriniformes; Danionidae
Source: Ensembl
GGCCACAGCCAUAUCACUCUGCAGCUCAAGACCGGUUACUCACUGAAGCUAAGCGGGGCUGAGCCUGGUCAGUAUUAGAAUGGGAGAACACAUGGGAAAACCAGGUUGCUGUUGGAA